GACGAACGCUGGCGGCGUGCUUAACACAUGCAAGUCGAACGGAAAGGCCCUGCUUUUGUGGGGUGCUCGAGUGGCGAACGGGUGAGUAACACGUGUGUAACCUGCCCUUGACUUUGGGAUAACUUCAGGAAACUGGGGAUAUUACCGCAUAGGAGCUCUUGCUGCAUGGUGGGGGUUGGAAAGUUUCGGCGGUUGGGGCUGGACUCGCGGCUUAUCAGCUUGUUGGUGGGGUAGUGGCUUACCAAGGCUUUGACGGGUAGCCGGCCUGAGAGGGGUACCGGCCACAUGGGGACUGAGGUACGGCCCAGACUCCUACGGGAGGCAGCAGUGGGGAAUAUUGCACAGUGAGCGGAAGCCUGAUGCAGCAACGCCGCGUGCGGGAUGACGGCCUUCGGGUUGUAAACCGCUUUCGCCUGUGACGAAGCGUGAGUGACGGUAAUGGGUAAAGAAGCACCGGCUAACUACGUG
Molecule: ribosomal RNA, 468 nt
Filed under: uncultured bacterium
Lineage: Bacteria
Description: partial 16S ribosomal RNA
Rfam family: Bacterial small subunit ribosomal RNA
Source: RNAcentral